CAAAACAUAACUUAACUCUAAAGCCCCUUGCUUACACCAAGAAAAUGUCAAUUAACCACUGACUGUUUUGAAA
This 73-nucleotide transfer RNA is filed under the name Eleutherodactylus glanduliferoides (La Visite robber frog). RNAcentral's name for it is "tRNA-Val". The record is from RNAcentral. Lineage: Eukaryota; Metazoa; Chordata; Amphibia; Anura; Eleutherodactylidae.